UUACCACUUGCUCCAAAUUUGCUCGCAUUCAGUAUGUAUUUUCGCAAAUCUAUGAAGUUCCAAUAAGACCUAUCAAAAUACAAUCUGUAUGUUUUUUUUUCAGGAUUAGAUAAUAUGAUUCUUCACCAAUGACCCAAUCCAAUUAUUGAGCCUGACUGGUUUCUUCUUCUAAUGGCAGUGAUGUGUUAGCAAUGGAAAACUGUGUCAUACUCACUUUAAGAAAAAAUAUAAUACUUCAAGCGGAAGGCUCCGUUUUACCCAUUUCUCUAUUGAGGUCUUGGGGUAUGGAAUUGAUAAGCAAACCACAUUGCUGCAAUUUCCAAUCAAUGUUCAAGAACCAAUGCAAGAUGAUCAAGUACCCAGAGCCCCUUUGAGGAACAUCACCAAUCAGUACCCACAGGGCGGCUACUAAUCUCAGAUCUCAGCCGUCAGCUUCAGGAAUUGAUAAGCAAGCAAACCGCAUCGCUGCAAUUUGCUAGCAAUAUUCAAGAACCGAUGCAAGAUGAUCAAAUACCCAGAGCCCCUUUGAGGAACAUCACUGAUGUCAGUUCUCAGCCGUCAACUUCAGGUCACGCGCCACGACACAUACCCCGAUUUUUCACGGAAGCUAGCAGUUUGGCCAAACAAAUAAAAAACCUUACUGAGACAAAAGAAAAAUAUUCUGUAAGAUUAAAAAAAAGCUUAUGUGUCUAUCCACAAACACAUCUUUUCAAAAGGCUAUUAGGAGUUUCAUCGUUGAACAUCUUCUCUUCACCACACCCACACACACUCUCUCUCUCUCUCUUUCUUGAUUCUUUGAACUAAUAAGAAAGGUCCAUUUUAUUCAUAAGAGUGCAAAGUAAUUUGAUUCAAAUUUUAAAUUGAAGUUCUAAACUGCUGGUAGAAUGUACCUUUUAGUAAUGAUUUUGAAUUGGAAAUGUUUAUUUAAUUGUUGAAAUGUUUUUUUACAGUUCGUUUAUUGCUCGUGUUGGUGUGGUGAAAAUUGUCGGUAGGAAACACUGCGCUUGAAAUAAUUAAGACGCAUUAGGAGAAGUAAUUCUCUAAACGCUUUCGACUAGUUCUUUCCUGGUUUUUGAAGCUAAGUAGUAUCACCACCAAUUACGUAACUAUAAAACAUAUUUUAAAAUAAAUUAUUAAAAACUAUUCCCCUG
RNAcentral lists this long non-coding RNA (1151 nucleotides) under Leguminivora glycinivorella. RNAcentral's name for it is "uncharacterized LOC125238669". Lineage: Eukaryota; Metazoa; Arthropoda; Insecta; Lepidoptera; Tortricidae. The record is from RNAcentral.